UAUUAGUGGCGAACGGGUGAGUAACACGUGAGUAACCUGCCCCUUACUUUCCUGGAUAACUGCUCGAAAGGGUAGCUAAUACGGGAUAUUCUGACCAGCCCGCAUGGGUUGGUUUGGAAAGGUUGUUUUUCUGGUAAGGGAUGGGCUCGCGGCCUAUCAGCUUGUUGGUGGGGUGAUGGCCUACCAAGGCUUUGACGGGUAGCCGGCCUGAGAGGGUGGACGGUCACACUGGGACUGAGAUACGGCCCAG
RNAcentral lists this ribosomal RNA (250 nucleotides) under uncultured bacterium. RNAcentral's name for it is "partial 16S ribosomal RNA". It matches the Rfam family "Bacterial small subunit ribosomal RNA", at positions 90 to 334 of the family's 1533-position model. The record is from RNAcentral.